This is a long non-coding RNA of Lycium ferocissimum, 1701 nucleotides long. RefSeq lists it as uncharacterized. The record is from RefSeq and is a predicted model, not a curated record. The transcript has 6 exons. Lineage: Eukaryota; Viridiplantae; Streptophyta; Magnoliopsida; Solanales; Solanaceae.
GUCAUUGUUUAUUCAUUCUGCAAUUAAGAGAGGGUAAUGAAAAAUUACAAUUGUUGUCGAUUUUUUCUUUUAGCAGAUGCCCCCAAAGAGACAUAAUUAUUGUCAAUAAUUCUUUACAAGCAAUCACUUGAAACUGCGGCUUUCUCAUUUAAUAGUGCAGAGUAACACAUGCACAUACGUGCGUCCUCUUAAAAAAAUAACAAAAAACUUUUUGUGACAAUUUGUGAAACCUAUCUGAAUGUCUGAUCUAACAAUGUUGUAGGGACUGUAUCAGAGAGUGUGAUUCUGGCAAAGGAUCGAAAAUCUACAGGCUUUCUUUAUAUUUUUGUACUUUGUUCUCAUAAAUUGUGCCCGUGGUUUCUUCGUGUUAAAAGCCUCAAAGCUUGUAUAUUCAAGUUCUCUUACUCUAAGCUAUUGGAGUUUUUCUUUCAGUUAGGGAAGAAGAGUCACACAUUUGUUCUGCGAAGAAGAAGAGGGUUCUAAAUUUGGCUGAACGGAGUUUGGAAUUUAUUAGGCCAUAAUCAUUCAUAAAGAUUUGACCAAAGAUUGUUGUUCCGUCUUUCGCGAUUCAUAUCCAUGGCUAUCAUUGUUGGAGCCAGCGGGGUCAGCGGUACUACAUAUGGUUGACGGAUAUACAAGCAGAAACGAGGCAAUCCUCCGCUCCUAAACAAGGAUUCUUACUGGAUAUGCCCCAGCGGUUGAAUAUAGUCGGCAUCUCUUUCUCUGAUCGCCGCAAAAUAUGGGCCAUUCGGCUAUUCAAUAGAUGAUACAUUGAAGAUCAAAAGCUGCAGGUUGAUGAUUUUUAUGCCCGGAAACAACAGAACAAGCUAGCUACCCGUCAAACGGAAUCGGGCAAAGCCAGCCAUGAAGAUUUUGUAUCGAAGCAUCCAGUGGAUAAUCAUGAGAAGGAUUAAAAAAAGCUUCUACCUAUUGUAGGUGUCUCUUGACAACAAGAAAAAUAGAGAUGUGAUUCGCAAGGCAUGGAUGCCUACUGCUUUGGCUCUCUUUUCCCCUCCCAUUUUUCCUAUUUUCUUUUGGUGGCCUUGUGAAGCUAAAAUUUAGCAACUCCGCUAAGAUGCUAAAGAAAUAUUUCAGCUACCUUACUGAUACAAUCAUUGUCUGUUGAACACAUUUAGACUUGGUUGCUGUUGAAUUCCCUAGCAACAUCAUUGGUCUUGUCUUAAUCCAAAGUUUCAUCAGUAUUAACUGCUAUCACUAUGAAUUCAACUUUUGAAUAAAUGAUUUCAUUCGAAAUCUCUAAGCUUAUUUUGGCAGGUGCUGCUCUUGAAAAAUUAGAGGAGGAGAAAGGUAUCGUAAUCAUUUCAUGGAAGCUACAGACUCUCAAGUUCAAGCAAAUAAACAAAGAGCUCAAAGGUACACGUUGAAAUGCCUAUAAUUUGGUAAGUCCACGAAGAAUAAUGUUAUUGAUCGAAGAUGAACAGAGGUACAGGAAUUCUGGGCUGAGAAGUAAGAAGCACAUGCAACGCCAAUAUGAUCCCCAAGACAAAGAACUUCAUUGCAUAGAAUAUAUAGUUGCACCUUAUCCAAUAACAUUAACUUUCUUUAUAGCACACUUAUUAUAACGGAUAUAGUUCAACCAUGGUCCUCUGUUACUAAGUUGGCUUCAGAAUCAAUGACGUAAGUGUACCUUAUUUUUGGUCAACAUAACUGUACUUAAUUCCUGCGCUUAUUCUAUAUAAC